This 330-nucleotide ribosomal RNA is filed under the name Triticum aestivum (bread wheat). RNAcentral's name for it is "partial small subunit ribosomal RNA". Lineage: Eukaryota; Viridiplantae; Streptophyta; Magnoliopsida; Poales; Poaceae. The record is from RNAcentral.
AUGAUCUGUAUGGGCGACCUCGAUGACAUACUGUAUGAUGCUCAUAUAUCUAAUGGUUGUGUGAAUUACUAUCGUAUGUCUAGUUUUUGUUCUUUAAUUAAAAACUGUGGUUUCUUUGAUAUCGGUUACAGUGGUCCUGCCUACACUUGGUGUAAUAGACAACAUACUGCUAAUCCUAUUGACAGACGUCUAGAUCGAUGUCUUGUUAAUGCUGAUUGGUGUGCUCACUAUCCUAAUACUAAGCUUCUUAAUUUGCCCAUUAUUCUUAGUGAUCAUGCUCCAAUCCUCAUUUCCAUGGAUGGUAACUUCUCUAAGCCUAAACAAACUUUC